This is a long non-coding RNA of Beta vulgaris subsp. vulgaris (sugar beet), 1426 nucleotides long. RefSeq lists it as uncharacterized. NCBI's taxonomy places the organism in Eukaryota, Viridiplantae, Streptophyta, Magnoliopsida, Caryophyllales, Amaranthaceae. The transcript has 2 exons. The record is from RefSeq and is a predicted model, not a curated record.
AUGAACUAAUGAUCCUAAGCACCCAUAAAAGGAGCUAAAGGAGGCAAAGUUAGGGUUCUUUCUAAAGAAUGAGGCUGGGAGAGGCUUUGGGAGUUUCCCGAGGACCGUUUUGCCCCUCUCCCAUGAUGAUCUCCGAUCAUCUUUAGCUGAUGAUUUCUCCGACCACCAUAAAACGGCCCUCUAAUUUACUCUGCGCGAUAAGCUUAGCGAGUUUCUGUAAUCAUAAAUCAUCAUCAUCUUCAGUUUCACUCCUCAAACAAACUAGGAAUUUGCACUUCCUAUGAUUUGUUUUGUAAACCAAACAAGGCCUAAAAGUUGAAAAAUACUUCCUCCGUUUCAUAGAGGCUAUGAUGGAAGAAAUAGUUCAAAGUAGUCAAAUUUAGUUUAGUUUGAAGCGUUUUUUGAGGUGGGUUUUUUGCAAUUAGGCUUGGCAGCAACUUUUGGGACUUGGGUCUUAAAUUUUGCUUUGCCGCCAAUGGUAAUUUUUCUACCUUAAAAUGCUCACUAAAUUGGUUGAUGAAAUGCGGAUCUGAGCCUCUUUAAUUUACCACAUUCAUGGAAAAGUUGAUCUUUUGUCAUGGACUUGGGCAUCUACAUGCAGUGCCUCUGUGGUCUCCCUGUUGAUGCCAACCAACUGUUGUGGGAACAGAUAUGAGCCUUUCCACUCUUCCAUGCUUGGUACUAUUAAGAUAAACUAAUGGUAUUCCUAUUCUAUUGAGAUACUACAAUAAAGAAUAGAACAUGCUACCUACUGAUCUUCAUGUUAGUGCUCUCUCCAACUGAGCUAUCCCGAACAUAUAUUCAUUGUUUUGGUAAUGAUUCCAGGACAACUUGUUGGAGGCAAUGAUGAAUUUCCCCCUCAUAUCUUAAGAUAUGGAUGGCUUAUUAUACAUAUAGUACUUGGCUUUUUUUUGGGGGGGGGGGUUGUAUUUCGUUCCUUGUUUGGGAAUGUAACAUGAAUGUAAAUGCAUGAAAAAGAUGUUUUCCGAUAACCUCUAAUUUCAACAUUAGCAUAUUUUGUUCUUCUGGGUGUAUAACUCUAAUGGUGAAGGUUGUUGGUUAUUGUCAGUUUUUGAAAUUGUAAUCAAGAUGGUGAAAGUUUGUUCUUUUCUGCUUGAAUUAGGCAUAUCAGCUGCAUCACUUCAGGUGUAAGCUAACAACUAACAAGUGAGGCGUGGUAAAAAAUGAACCACACAAUUGCAGUGACAGAAGGAGAACUGAUCUAUUACUCCUGGAUUUUGUUUUUUGUUGCUUUUGUAUUGCAAAUUAGGGUCCUUUUCAGCAAUUUCUCCAUUAAAUACUGAUAACUUGCAUAUAUUUGUUUCAUAAGUAGUAUCUAAAGCCUUGCAAGGUAUAAAUUUCUCAUUGUUUAGAUACCCUUUUGCUUCAAAAAUAAUUAUUGCUUAUAUACUGCCUCCUAAAUUCA